UUUCGUUUGCAGUUUAUUGAAAUAGGGGCUCAGAGAUGGUGAUUUCUUAAACUGGAAAACUUUAGUUCAGAGUGAGCCACACACCAACCUUACCUUCAGUAAAUUCUUUCCAUCACUUUUGCUGCUCUGCCUCAGAAGAUCUUCACUCCCAGAUGUUGGGUGGAGGAGAGUGGAGCUCUCUGACCAGCCUGGACUGCUAUCUGCACAAUACCUUCCAGGGCCAUGAAGGGCACUAACCAGAGCCAGAUCCCGUGAAUGAGUUCACUAUUAAGCACUGAAAGGCUACCUGAGACUGCGUUUCAAAGCAAGAACCUUGUACAACCAUGUUUUGUGUAUGUCUGAAACACAUUGUGCCUGAACUGUAUCCCAUGCUUUUGUUAGAUCAAUGAAGACACUCAGCAGAUCCAUGGUUUGUUCGAUAUGUUCUUCUUGUAUUUGCCUGAUACUAGAAAUCAUGUCUCUGGUGCUAUGGCCAGGUCUGAAUCCGGACUGAGUCUCCGGUAGUUUGGCUUCUGAGACAGAUGAAAUCAGUCGGUUCAGGAGGACACGAGCAAAGACUUUUCCAGCGACAGAUAGGAGAGAGAUCCGACAGUAGUUACCACAGACCACUUUGCUGCCUUUAUUUUUAAAUAAAGGAAUAAUUGUGGCAUCUUUGAAGUCUUGUGGCAUUUCUUCGUUGUCCGAGAUGCCAGUAAGGAUCCUCUGGAGUGCCGUUACCACCUUUGGACCCGCAGAUUUAUAUAUUUCUGCAAGUAUUCCAUCUCUGUCUGAGGACUUUCCUGACCUCCUCAUACUGAUUGCCUUUUCUAUUUCUUCAAGUGAGGAUGGUGAGUCAGAGUGGUGCUGAAUAGGCUUUUGAAGUAUCUGAUUAAUAGCACUUGUUUCAAUUGAGGAUGGUCUGUUCAGUAGUUGGCUGAAAUGUUCAGCCCAUCUCUGUUCCAUGCCAUGUUUGUCUUUGACUGUCCUGCCAUCAGCCAUCAUGAGCGAACCUGUGCCCACCUCUGAAGGUCCAAAGACUAGCUUCAAGGAAUCAAAGAACUUCUUUGUUUCAUGUUAGAGACUAACCAAUUAUUUGAGCAUAAGCUUUCGUGAGCUACAGCUCACUU
Long non-coding RNA from Chelonia mydas (Green sea turtle), 1106 nucleotides. RefSeq lists it as uncharacterized. The record is from RefSeq and is a predicted model, not a curated record. NCBI's taxonomy places the organism in Eukaryota, Metazoa, Chordata, Testudines, Cheloniidae. The transcript is spliced from 3 exons.